This 1373-nucleotide ribosomal RNA is filed under the name uncultured bacterium. RNAcentral describes it as "bacterial SSU rRNA". It matches the Rfam family "Bacterial small subunit ribosomal RNA", at positions 28 to 1381 of the family's 1533-position model. The record is from RNAcentral.
GAUGAACGCUGGCGGCGUGCCUAAUACAUGCAAGUCGAGCGAACGGACGAGAAGCUUGCUUCUCUGAUGUUAGCGGCGGACGGGUGAGUAACACGUGGAUAACCUACCUAUAAGACUGGGAUAACUUCGGGAAACCGGAGCUAAUACCGGAUAAUAUUUUGAACCGCAUGGUUCAAAAGUGAAAGACGGUCUUGCUGUCACUUAUAGAUGGAUCCGCGCUGCAUUAGCUAGUUGGUAAGGUAACGGCUUACCAAGGCAACGAUGCAUAGCCGACCUGAGAGGGUGAUCGGCCACACUGGAACUGAGACACGGUCCAGACUCCUACGGGAGGCAGCAGUAGGGAAUCUUCCGCAAUGGGCGAAAGCCUGACGGAGCAACGCCGCGUGAGUGAUGAAGGUCUUCGGAUCGUAAAACUCUGUUAUUAGGGAAGAACAUAUGUGUAAGUAACUGUGCACAUCUUGACGGUACCUAAUCAGAAAGCCACGGCUAACUACGUGCCAGCAGCCGCGGUAAUACGUAGGGGGCAAGCGUUAUCCGGAAUUAUUGGGCCUAAAACGCGCGUAGCCGGUUUUUUAAGUCUGAUGUGAAAGCCCACGGCUCAACCGCUGGAGGGUCAUUGGAAACUGGAAAACUUGAGUGCAGAAGAGGAAAGUGGAAUUCCAUGUGUAGCGGUGAAAUGCGCAGAGAUAUGGAGGAACACCAGUGGCGAAGGCGACUUUCUGGUCUGUAACUGACGCUGAUGUGCGAAAGCGUGGGGAUCAAACAGGAUUAGAUACCCUGGUAGUCCACGCCGUAAACGAUGAGUGCUAAGUGUUAGGGGGUUUCCGCCCCUUAGUGCUGCAGCUAACGCAUUAAGCACUCCGCCUGGGGAGUACGACCGCAAGGUUGAGACUCAAAGGAAUUGACGGGGACCCGCACAAGCGGUGGAGCAUGUGGUUUAAUUCGAAGCAACGCGAAGAACCUUACCAAAUCUUGACAUCCUUUGACAACUCUAGAGAUAGAGCCUUCCCCUUCGGGGGACAAAGUGACAGGUGGUGCAUGGUUGUCGUCAGCUCGUGUCGUGAGAUGUUGGGUUAAGUCCCGCAACGAGCGCAACCCUUAAGCUUAGUUGCCAUCAUUAAGUUGGGCACUCUAAGUUGACUGCCGGUGACAAACCGGAGGAAGGUGGGGAUGACGUCAAAUCAUCAUGCCCCUUAUGAUUUGGGCUACACACGUGCUACAAUGGACAAUACAAAGGGCAGCGAAACCGCGAGGUCAAGCAAAUCCCAUAAAGUUGUUCUCAGUUCGGAUUGUAGUCUGCAACUCGACUACAUGAAGCUGGAAUCGCUAGUAAUCGUAGAUCAGCAUGCUACGGUGAAUACGUUCCCGGGUCU